Non-coding RNA from Callithrix jacchus (white-tufted-ear marmoset), 1858 nucleotides. NCBI's taxonomy places the organism in Eukaryota, Metazoa, Chordata, Mammalia, Primates, Cebidae. The record is from RefSeq and is a predicted model, not a curated record.
GGGGGUCUUGCUCUUUUGCAGUGGUGUCAUCUUGGAUCACUGCAACCUCCACCUCUCGGGUUCAAGUGAUUCUCCUGCCUCAGCCUCCUGAGUAGCUUGGACUACAAGGCACGUGCCACCACAUCCAGCUAAUUUUUGUAUUUUUAGUAGCGAUGCGGUUUCACCAUUUUGGCAGAGAUCGUCUUGAUCUCUUGACCUCAUGAUCCACCUGCCUUAGCCUCUCAAAAUGCUGUGAUUACAGGUGUGAGCCACCACACUUGCCCUGAGCUCAUUUUUUUAGCUGUAAAAUAAGAAUAACAAUUGUACUAAUCUAAAAAGACAGCUUAUUGUAUUGUCUUUUAUUUUCUAUGAAACUGUUUUUAACAGUAAUUAUUUUCUUUGCCAUGCCACAUUUGUUUUUGUUUUGUCUUUGUUUUUCUUUUAGAUGGAGUCUGUUUUGUUUUGUUUUGUUUUGUUUUUUGUUUUCUUGAGAUGGAGUCUCGCUGUUGUAGCCCAGGCUGGAGUGCAGUGGCAUGAUCUUGGCUCAUCCUGUAUCAUACCCACAGAGACCCUUUUUUUCUCCAGGGCCUGGGAAGCAGCCAGGUUCCACGAGUUAAAUGCAGAUCUGAACCAUACGGAGCUGUGAUUAAAGUACACACCCUCCUCUUCUGAAAAGUAGCUAAGGAUUCCAACUUGGUGUAGUGGAGAGUGUGGCAGAGCCAGACCAGACAAGGACUGAUCACAUGGAAAAGCAUGUUGUCAAAGGCCUUGGCCAGAAUUCUAAAGUCAGUCCCACUGACUCAAGGUGGAAGCAGGGCAGAUACCUUCCCAGGCUCUGAAGGAGAAUGAGUUUCUGGCCCUGGAGGCUUCCUGGAAUCCUCAGCUUGUGCUGCCCUUCUUGAAUGACUCGAGGUUCCUGCUUCCAUCACUACACUUCCCAUCGCUCUCCAUCACCUGCUCUGCUCUGGCUGGCUGCAGUCUUCGUUCCCUGCAACAUUUGUCUCCUGGGUUCAAGUGAUUCUUCUACCUCAACCUCCUGAGUACCCGGGACUACAGAGAAAUGCAAUGAUCGUAUCACUGAUCUAUGUAAACACAUUGAAGAACUAUCUGAAAGAAAAUAUGAGUCUUGUUCUUUCACUCAGGCUGGAGUGCAGUGGUGUGACCUCAGCUCACAGAAACCUCCACUUCUCACAUUGAAUUUAUCCUCUUGCCUCAGCCUCCCUAGUAGCUAGGACUACAGAGAUGCGGUUUUGCCAUGUUGGCCAGCCUGGUCUCCAAUUCCUGACCUCAGGUGAUUCACCUGCCUUGGCCUCCCAAGUGCUAGGAUUACAGUGACUUGAACUAUGAAUUCAAUAACUGAAGAUGUACAGCUUGAUAAACCAGCUUCAGGAGCAAAGGAAGAAUGGUGUACCAGAAUCACCAAAUUAAGCAAGACAGUAGAUCAGCUUUUCUGCAAAAAAAAUUGGAUCUUUGAAGAUCUUUAUUAAGACCAAAACUCUGAAGCACGUUCACAUGAUUUGUAUAUGGAAAGACUACCGGAAUGCAUUUCUUUCGGAAGUCCCUCAUGAUAUGGAGUUCCAAGGCUGGGAAACAUCAGUCAAGUGGGCAACUGAAUUAAAUUUUUAUUAAAAGGGAUGGGAUCAUGCUGUGUCGCCCAGGAUGGUCUUAACUCCUUACCUUAAGUGGUCCUCCUGCCUCAGCCUCCCAAAGUUCUGGGAUUAUAUGCAGGUAUAAGCCACCUGUACCCAGUCCCCUAUUUAUUUUAAAUAACAGCUUUAUUGAAAUAUAGUUAACAUCCCUUACAACUGAUUCAUAAAAGUAUGCAAAAGUAUUCAUGGAGCUGUGCAUCUGUCACGACAAUCAAUUUUAGAAGCUUUCA